Molecule: transfer RNA, 87 nt
Filed under: Opitutia bacterium
Lineage: Bacteria; Pseudomonadati; Verrucomicrobiota; Opitutia
Also listed under: 1 other name
Description: tRNA-Tyr
Rfam family: tRNA
About the family: Transfer RNA (tRNA) molecules are approximately 80 nucleotides in length. Their secondary structure includes four short double-helical elements and three loops (D, anti-codon, and T loops).
Source: RNAcentral
GGUGGGGUAUCCAAGAGGCUAAAGGACGUAGACUGUAAAUCUAUUAGGAGUUUCCUUUCGGGGGUUCGAAUCCCUCCCCCACCACCA